This 808-nucleotide ribosomal RNA is filed under the name Spironucleus sp. T105. RNAcentral's name for it is "partial 18S ribosomal RNA". It matches the Rfam family "Eukaryotic small subunit ribosomal RNA", at positions 65 to 1151 of the family's 1831-position model. The record is from RNAcentral. Lineage: Eukaryota; Fornicata; Diplomonadida; Hexamitidae.
UUAUUGUGGAGCAAAAACGGCGAACAGCUCAUUUAUCAGUGGUAAGUGCAUACAAUGUAUUUCGUUGGAUAGUAACGGAAAAUCUGUUAGUAAUACAUGAACUGUUUUUAGCAUUAUGUUAAAAAUAAUAGUAAGUGCGAUUGUAUAUCUGCCACUGCAGCAUCAUCUUACGUUGGUGGGAUAUUUGCCUACCAAGGAUUCGACGCUUACGGGGAAUUAGGGUUUGACUCCGGAGAAUGAGCAUGAGAAACAGCUCAUACAUCUAAGGAAGGCAGCAGGCGCGGAAAUUGCCCAAUGUAUCUUUUAUACGAGGCAGUGACAAGAAAUGGUAGGCACUUUUGUGCACUAUCGAGGGUUAGUGGUAUCUUUGCUAACCGUGACUCGUGGGCAAGCUCGGUGCCAGCAGCCGCGGUAAUUCCGACACAGGGAGUUUUCCAUUUGGUUGCUGCAGUUAAAAAGUUCGUAGUUUACUGACUCUUUCACUAUAAGCAAAGCCGAAUGCUCCAAGUUUUUUAGCAGUAUUUAUAGUAUGAAAUUAUAGCGCGGCAUUGAACGUAGUUUGGGGUACUCGAUAGGGACAGGUGAAAUAGGAUGAUCUAUCGAAGACCCACGGUAGCGGAGGCUCCCAACGAAGUCCAAGUGUCACGAUCAAGAACUAAAGUCAGGGGAUAGACGACGAUUAGACACCGUUUUAUUCCUGACCCUAAACGAUGUCGCCUAGCUGAUGGGAAUUUUUUCAUUUGCCAAGAGAAAUCGUAAGGUUUCAGACUCUGGGGGAAGUAUGAUCGCAAGGUUGAAACUUGAAGGG